RNAcentral lists this long non-coding RNA (1220 nucleotides) under Setaria viridis. RNAcentral describes it as "long non-coding RNA (SVIR_LNC000983)". The record is from RNAcentral. Lineage: Eukaryota; Viridiplantae; Streptophyta; Magnoliopsida; Poales; Poaceae.
AACAGUUCAGUAACCCCUUUGCCAGCUUGUGUAACUGUGUCAGCGUCUAAUCUUCUCGAUCUGCUCAUGGGUCGAUGUGAUUGUGAUGUCCGCAUGGAGAAUGAAUCAUCGUAUAACGCUUCAGGUUCAAGAAAAGCAAGUUUACGACGGGAAAAUUCCAGCCUAACUGUCCUUUUUUUUACUGUGGCGGCUGAUGUGGUCUUUGGUGGUUGAGAUUUCAGAUCAGGAGCACUGGACUGCAGGAAGCCGAGUGCAAAUCGGUCGCCGGUUUGUUCCCCAUUUGCAGACAGCGGCAACCUGCAGCUGCUUGCUCAAACUCACCUCCUUUCGGGCUUGGAUUGUCAGCACCAAUGCAAAGUAGAGAGGCUGUUUGGCUUCACGAGAAAGGAACUCGUACGAGGCCUGAUGAAGAUGGAGCUUGUCACUUAUCAGCUUGCUGUUCCACCCACAAGUAACCAAAUAUACAUUUUUUUUUCAGAAAAUUAGUUCCAUCGCAGUAAAGAUCAAGACAUUGAUGCUUGAAAAUCCAAAUGGUAAAAGAAUGCCACUAUGCCUGUAUGCCAGUAGCGCCGGCACUUUGGACGACGGCCAUGUAGACAUGUUACCUGACAACUGAAAGGAUAUGUUCUUUUGACUUAAGUGGAUCAUUCAGUCUUAGAACCAUGAUCAAGAUGUAGACAGGAAACUCUGACAUGCUUGUUAGUGCACGAUAAGGUUCCCUCUAGUCCCGACGCAGAAGUUGUUGACCUUGACCCUGCGAAAGCGCUCAUAAUCGGUAAUGAUCAGAUUCAGACCAAGACCAGGGCCAUGCUGUGCUUCUUGCAAGAGGGAGCAACGAUCUGGUCAGUCUGUCUGACAGGCAGCCAUUAUCCCCCGGCAGCGGCAGGACGCUGCCCUUUCUGACCUUUCGAGGAGGCUGGGAGUUCUUUUGCAUUGCUUCUUUCUUGGGCCCUGCCGUUCUCCGUGGAGAAGAUCAAGGCCUGAUACUCGCAUGCGGCAUGCCCUGUGCCUUGACUUCCUUUCGCGACUACCGCUGGAACGACGAACGAUCACGCGCGCCGGCAUGGAGCCACGCGCCGCACGCGUGACCCGUGGAGUCGUGGACCAUGGUCGCUUCGCCUGUUGCAAUUCCGGCGAGUUCCAAUCGCCGGCAAGCACCCACACGCACACUCGAUGAACACAAGUGGACGCAGGUUUUGCGCUGCAAAAAGAACGGCAGC